AGCUCCUGUCUACAGCUCCCAGCGUGAGCCACGCAGAAGACGGGUGAUUUCUGCAUUUCCAUCUGAGGUACCGGGCUACACCCUGCAAGGUCAUUAUCAUUAGCUGCACUUUACAGGAGAGGAAGCUGAGGCUCAGAGAAGCAAACUGCCCUCCUACUUAUGUUGAAGACUUUCCCAUCCUAUGAGCCCAGGUGGGAGAAGCUGAAAAUGGCAGAAGGUCACUUUUCCAACUGCCCUGUGCCUGGUGAGCCUGUGACACAGACCCCAUUGCUCACAUAUCCACCCAGUUUGGUGCCAUAGGUGGUAGCACUUCAGGGCCAAGGAGUUUGAAGAAGUCCAAGGUAGAGCUUUCUGGAAAAUCCUCUGGAGAGGUUGAUCAGAAACCUUCUCCCACAUAAACAAAGGACCCAGGAAGAAGCUAAAAAUGGGCCAUGAGAUUGUCUUUAUUCAUCAAGCCUGAAGUUUUCUGACUCUAUCUUUCUUUUCCCGUGGCCACUGUUACCUCUCCAGACCAGACCCCAUCACCUGAAUUCUGCCUGGGCCUCGACAGAUAUGCUCAGCU
This 562-nucleotide long non-coding RNA is filed under the name Pan troglodytes (chimpanzee). RNAcentral's name for it is "lincRNA". Lineage: Eukaryota; Metazoa; Chordata; Mammalia; Primates; Hominidae. The record is from RNAcentral.